ACCCAGUCUCACGGCAUUUCGUGAUUUGGUCACGUAAUUUAAUCUAUUUAUUCGUUGCAGGAACACGUUUAUUUCAUUAUUUUCGUAAUUCCAGCACGUUUUUUUAACUAAUGUAUUUCAAUUGGAUGCAUCUUUCGUGCAUAUAGCACGAUUUUUUCUGCCAGUCGGGCUGCAGUAGGGAAGCUCAACAUUUAUUCACAAGAUCUUAUCAAGACUGCAAUACAUAAGAAUAAAUAGGAAUCGGCAACAAUUAACGAUCUAUGCCAGCGCAUGUCAAUAUUUAUCUGGUCAUUUUCAACUGGUUUUUAAUGUUAAAAGUCCCUGUCAGUCAACAGCUGUUUCCGGUGAGUUCAACUGCAGGAUCAAUAGCAUUCAGCGGUGAGUUUAACAACGCUCAAAUGUGGGUAAAAUAACAUUCAGAGAGGAGUUUUAUUAAAACAGCGUUAAACUGCAUGUAAGACAACAUUCAGAGUCCUGUAAUAACUGUGAUGUCAUCGAAUGAGACGAAGGUCCAUGGCUAUUUCAACUCGGAAGUUGAGAUGAAGGUGCGGAAACUUGAGGCUGUCGGAUACAAGUCAAUUGUAUUUACCAGGAAAUGGGAUAAAAAGGACCUGCCGGAGAGCCUCGCCGUGGAGCUGCCGGAGAGCAUCGUCAUGGAACGGCCGGAGAAUCUCAACAAGGAGUCUGAGGCUGUAUUUGCAUUAAAUCUUGUUCCUCUGUCCUCUCUCCAACCUCUCUUGCUCCUAUUACUUUUACAACUAUUUUCCUCCACUUUCUUCACCACCUCUUCUGACAUGCUCACUGACACGUCUUUGCCACAGAGAAAGAGGAAUACAAAGACAUCUACUGUACCUCUUCAAACUAUACCAUGGCUUCAAACUAUACCAUAAAGCAGGGUUCCCCAAAUCUUACCCUGGAGGGCCGGAACACUGCAGAGUUUAGCUCCAACCCUAAUCAAACAGACCUGAUCAAGGUCUUCAUGAUCACUAGAAAAUCACAGGUGGGUAAAAUUUAUUAGGGUUGGACCUAAACUCUGUAGUGCUCCGGCCCUCCAGGGUAAGAUUUGGGGAACCCUGGAAUAAAGGGUAACUUUUUUCCUGUUACAUCUUACUCCACAAUUUGCUCCUAGACAAAUCUAUCUUCAUGUAUAUUGAAUUAAUUUACCUAACCAGGUAAUUGUUAGCCAGUUCACAGUGUUUAAAGGCUCGUACAGACUACAUGACUUUAAAAUGUUGGUCCGAACUGUGCGGUUCACACUACAUGACUUGCUCUCUGUGAAAUCAGGAGUGUUCACGUUGUUGAGCAGUUCACACCACACGACAUAACAUGAAUGCCCCACAACAGGAGGUAACGCACUACACGAGUUGAGAACAACUCUAUCACCCGACGAUUCUAUCUUGUCCACAAACCACGUUUUAAUCACGCGAUAAAACAAACCGGAAAUGACGCGAAACAACACGCGCACCAGUAAACCCACAGAAGAAGAAACAAGAAGACGCGCAAAACUUUUGUUUGUAUAUAUAGACUUCAGACAGAAAUUAGUGCUGCAAACCGUUUGUGCGAUGCAAAGACGCAAAAGAAAAAGAUGAAGAGAUGUGUAUGUGGAGAGGUGGAUCAACACCACACGAGGACAGCAGGGAUUUAAGAGUUGGAGAAUAGGACAGGCUUCGCAAAGCAUGACUUGGAGAGCGUUUGUCUUUGACCCUGCGAUUCUAUGCAACAGGUGACAAGUCCCUCAGGUUCAAGUCCAGGAUGGGGGACCAGCACCAUCCCACAAAUAGUUUUGGAUACCUGUGCUGUACCAGGUUAUAAAGGAC
This is a long non-coding RNA of Paramisgurnus dabryanus, 1817 nucleotides long. RefSeq lists it as uncharacterized. The record is from RefSeq and is a predicted model, not a curated record. NCBI's taxonomy places the organism in Eukaryota, Metazoa, Chordata, Actinopteri, Cypriniformes, Cobitidae.